UGGGGAAUAUUGCGCAAUGGGGGGAACCCUGACGCAGCCAUGCCGCGUGAAUGAAGAAGGCCUUCGGGUUGUAAAGUUCUUUCGGUAAUGAGGAAGGGAUGUUAUUAAAUAGAUAGCAUCAUUGACGUUAAUUACAGAAGAAGCACCGGCUAACUCCGUGCCAGCAGCCGCGGUAAUACGGAGGGUGCGAGCGUUAAUCGGAAUAACUGGGCGUAAAGGGCACGCAGGCGGACUUUUAAGUGAGAUGUGAAAUCCCCGAGCUUAACUUGGGAACUGCAUUUCAGACUGGGAGUCUAGAGUACUUUAGGGAGGGGUAGAAUUCCACGUGUAGCGGUGAAAUGCGUGGAGAUGUGGAGGAAUACCGAAGGCGAAGGCAGCCCCUUGGGAAUGUACUGACGCUCAUGUGCGAAAGCGUGGGGAGCAAACAGGAUUAGAUACCCUGGUAGUCCACGCUGUAAACGCUGUCGAUUUGGGGAUUGGGCUAUAUGCUUGGUGCCCGAAGCUAACGUGAUAAAUCGACCGCCUGGGGAGUACGGCCGCAAGGUUA
Molecule: ribosomal RNA, 547 nt
Filed under: uncultured bacterium
Lineage: Bacteria
Description: bacterial SSU rRNA
Rfam family: Bacterial small subunit ribosomal RNA
Source: RNAcentral